UAGCCCAACAAUGCUCUAUACGGCUAUCAAACAGGCCCUUAUUGUCAAUCACGAUAAUCUCUCUAUUCAAUCACGAUAAUCUCUCUCUAUUCAAUCACGAUUCAACAAGCAGCGUUUUCUGCCCUCAAUCACGGAAGAUGUGCAGGAAUAGGGUGGCUGGAGGUAGAAGCUUGAGGGAACCGGGCAGCCAUGGAAGGCGGCUGCAAGAUUUUUGCCGAUGGUUGAUGAGAUGGAAGUGCAGAGGAGUGGCCGGCUGUGCUCCAACACUCUACUGUUACCUUUUUCUUUCUCUUUGACUAUUGUGUUCCAAACUUGAGAAGUGGGCCAUGUAAGUCCCAACUUGUAAUAUACUAUGAAUUUUCCCCAAGCUGGGAACUAAGUUGUAUUCGUGAACUGUAAUUCAAAUACUGACUGCGAAUUCUAAACAUCGAAUUUCUGUAUGCUCGAUA
Long non-coding RNA from Salvia miltiorrhiza (redroot sage), 449 nucleotides. RefSeq lists it as uncharacterized. The transcript is spliced from 2 exons. Lineage: Eukaryota; Viridiplantae; Streptophyta; Magnoliopsida; Lamiales; Lamiaceae. The record is from RefSeq and is a predicted model, not a curated record.